CACUAUCCUUAGCCCUAAACAUUAACCGUACGUUACACAACCGCUCGCCCGGGUACUACGAGCCCCAGCUUAAAACCCAAAGGACUUGGCGGUGCUUUAGACCCCCCUAGAGGAGCCUGUUCUGGAACCGAUAGUCCCCGUUCAACCUCACCCUUUCUUGUAUUUUUCCGCCUAUAUACCGCCGUCGCCAGCUUACCCUGUGAAGGCCCUCGUAGUAAGCACAAUCAGAACGUUCUCAGCACGUCAGGUCGAGGUGUAGCGUAUGAAAGGGAAAGAAAUGGGCUACAUUUGCUGCCCCAGCAAACACGGACUGUUCCCUGAAACUGGGUACACGAAGGAGGAUUUAGCAGUAAGGAGGGAUUAGAGUGCUCUCCUGAAGCAAGGCUCUGAAGCACGCACACACCGCCCGUCACCCUCCCCGUCAUCUCAUAUGCCAUCCUUAAUACUACGAACAACCCCCCAAGGGGAGGUAAGUCGUAA
RNAcentral lists this ribosomal RNA (480 nucleotides) under Fusigobius duospilus (barenape goby). RNAcentral describes it as "partial small subunit ribosomal RNA". It matches the Rfam family "Bacterial small subunit ribosomal RNA", at positions 788 to 1491 of the family's 1533-position model. The record is from RNAcentral. Lineage: Eukaryota; Metazoa; Chordata; Actinopteri; Gobiiformes; Gobiidae.